Small nuclear RNA from Zalophus californianus (California sea lion), 125 nucleotides. Lineage: Eukaryota; Metazoa; Chordata; Mammalia; Carnivora; Otariidae. The record is from Ensembl.
GUGUUGUAUGAACUGAGAGAAGGUUAGCACUCCCCUUUACAAGGAUGGAAGAGACUCUCAGGCUAACAACACACAUAUGGUUAAGGCACUGCCACCUACUUCGAGGCAUCUAACCACCUUUUUUC